GGCAUUCUCGUCCACUUUUUGUGCUUUAAAAGGUCUGGGCUUUUGAUAUGUUGUAGUGCACUGAGUUAGGAAGCCAUAGGCUUUGGAAUGACCUCAUUCCGACCUCGGAUGAGGGAAUUACGGUGAUUGGAAGGAAAUGUGUCAAAACUGAAAGUCAGCAGCGGGAUGUGCUAUUCGGGACACUGUUUCGAUCAGUUAAUUUUUCCAAAACCUUCUG
Molecule: long non-coding RNA, 217 nt
Filed under: Panax ginseng (ginseng)
Lineage: Eukaryota; Viridiplantae; Streptophyta; Magnoliopsida; Apiales; Araliaceae
Description: long non-coding RNA (PGIN_LNC016319)
Source: RNAcentral